Molecule: non-coding RNA, 19 nt
Filed under: Mus musculus (house mouse)
Lineage: Eukaryota; Metazoa; Chordata; Mammalia; Rodentia; Muridae
Source: RNAcentral
ACCAGCAUCAUUGAGGUGA